UACGAAGGGGGCUAGCGUUGCUCGGAAUCACUGGGCGUAAAGGGUGCGUAGGCGGAUCUUUAAGUCAGGGGUGAAAUCCUGGAGCUCAACUCCAGAACUGCCUUUGAUACUGAGGAUCUCGAGUUCGGGAGAGGUGAGUGGAACUGCGAGUGUAGAGGUGAAAUUCGUAGAUAUUCGCAAGAACACCAGUGGCGAAGGCGGCUCACUGGCCCGAGUACUGACGCUGAGGCACGAAAGCGUGGGGAGCAAACAGG
Molecule: ribosomal RNA, 254 nt
Filed under: uncultured bacterium
Lineage: Bacteria
Description: partial 16S ribosomal RNA
Rfam family: Bacterial small subunit ribosomal RNA
Source: RNAcentral